Long non-coding RNA from Marmota flaviventris (yellow-bellied marmot), 689 nucleotides. RefSeq lists it as uncharacterized. The record is from RefSeq and is a predicted model, not a curated record. Lineage: Eukaryota; Metazoa; Chordata; Mammalia; Rodentia; Sciuridae.
AAAAGUCCAACUGAAAGAAGAGAGGCAGUUGUUGUGCAAAGAAGAAGUGAGAGAGGAGCCAGAGAAGGAAAAUUGGGUUGGCAAAAAGAAUUCUGGAGAUCAGAAGUGUGAAAUGAGUCCUGCAAGGCUGACAUCAGGGUCAAGGAGGGCUGUGUUCCUUUUGGAAGCUCCGGAGAAGAGUUUGUUUCUCUGCCUUUCUCCACCUUCUUGGGGCUGACUGCACUCUUUGGCUCAUGGCUUCUUCCUUUCUACAUCUCCUCUCUCUGAUCUCUUGCCUCCCUCAGUGAAUAUGUGGAGGAUUACAUGACUACCAAGAGUGGUACUCAAGAUUCUGGACCAAGGCAGUCCCCUCCUGGGGAAUUACUCUGCACACUGACCAGAGCUCCAGUGCUUGGGGUUAACAGCAACCACUGGAGGUGGCUCCAAAGGAAUCUGAGAGUAGAAGAGGGAGGCUGAAGAGUGGGAGUCAAGGAAGGAGAUGUGAUUAUGGAAGCAUCAUUGUGUGAUGUGAGAAAACCUUGACUGGCCAUUGCUGACUUUGAAGAUGGAAGAGAACCACAAGACAAAAAAUGCUAGCAGCCUCUGAAAGCUGGAAAAUGCAAGAAGAUGGAAGAUGCUCUCCCAAAGCCUCCAGAAAAAAACAGCCUUUUUCUCAGCAAGGUCCAUUUUGGACUUGUGACCUGCAGAUU